This 253-nucleotide ribosomal RNA is filed under the name uncultured bacterium. RNAcentral describes it as "partial 16S ribosomal RNA". It matches the Rfam family "Bacterial small subunit ribosomal RNA", at positions 524 to 776 of the family's 1533-position model. The record is from RNAcentral.
UACGGAGGGUGCAAGCGUUAUCCGGAUUUACUGGGUUUAAAGGGUGUGUAGGCGGGCUAUUAAGUCAGCGGUGAAAUCUCCGGGCUCAACCCGGAAACUGCCAUUGAUACUAUUAGUCUUGAAUUCUGUUGAGGUGGGCGGAAUAAAUCAUGUAGCGGUGAAAUGCAUAGAUAUGAUUUAGAACACCAAUUGCGAAGGCAGCUCGCUAAACAGAUAUUGACGCUGAGGCACGAAAGCGUGGGGAUCAAACAGG